Molecule: ribosomal RNA, 253 nt
Filed under: uncultured bacterium
Lineage: Bacteria
Description: partial 16S ribosomal RNA
Rfam family: Bacterial small subunit ribosomal RNA
Source: RNAcentral
UACGUAGGGUGCGAGCGUUAAUCGGAAUUACUGGGCGUAAAGCGUGCGCAGGCGGUUCGUUGUGUCGGCGGUGAAAGCCCCGGGCUUAACCUGGGAAUUGCGUUGGAGACUGCAAGGCUGGAGUCUGGCAGAGGGGGGUAGAAUUCCACGUGUAGCAGUGAAAUGCGUAGAGAUGUGGAGGAACACCGAUGGCGAAGGCAGCCCCCUGGGUCAAGACUGACGCUCAUGCACGAAAGCGUGGGGAGCAAACAGG